CCUACGGGCGGCAGCAGUGGGGAAUAUUGCACAAUGGGCGAAAGCCUGAUGCAGCAACGCCGCGUGAGCGAUGAAGGCCUUCGGGUCGUAAAGCUCUGUCCUCAAGGAAGAUAAUGACGGUACUUGCGGAAGAAGCCCCGGCUAACUACGUGCCGGCAGCCGCGGUAAUAAGUAGGGGGCUGGCGGUAUCCGGAAUUACUGGUCGGAAGGGGGGCGUAGGUGGUUUCUUAAGUCAGAGGUGAAAGGCUACGGCUCAACCGGAGUAAGCCUUUGAAACUGGGAAACUUGAGUGCAGGAGAGGAGAGUGGAAUUCCUAGUGUAGCGGUGAAAUGCGUAGAUAUUAGGAGGAACACCAGUUGCGAAGGCGGCUCUCUGGACUGUAACUGACACUGAGGCACGAAAGCGUGGGGAGCAAACAGGAUUAGAUACCCCGGUAGUC
Molecule: ribosomal RNA, 439 nt
Filed under: uncultured bacterium
Lineage: Bacteria
Description: partial 16S ribosomal RNA
Rfam family: Bacterial small subunit ribosomal RNA
Source: RNAcentral